GAUGAACGCUGGCGGCGUGCCUAAUACAUGCAAGUCGAGCGAACGGACGAGAAGCUUGCUUCUCUGAUGUUAGCGGCGGACGGGUGAGUAACACGUGGAUAACCUACCUAUAAGACUGGGAUAACUUCGGGAAACCGGAGCUAAUACCGGAUAAUAUUUUGAACCGCAUGGUUCAAAAGUGAAAGACGGUCUUGCUGUCACUUAUAGAUGGAUCCGCGCUGCAUUAGCUAGUUGGUAAGUUAACGGCUUACCAAGGCAACGAUGCAUAGCCGACCUGAGAGGGUGAUCGGCCACACUGGAACUGAGACACGGUCCAGACUCCUACGGGAGGCAGCAGUAGGGAAUCUUCCGCAAAGGGCGAAAGCCUGACGGAGCAACGCCGCGUGAGUGAUGAAGGUCUUCGGAUCGUAAAACUCUGUUAUUAGGGAAGAACAUAUGUGUAAGUAACUGUGCACAUCUUGACGGUACCUAAUCAGAAAGCCACGGCUAACUACGUG
RNAcentral lists this ribosomal RNA (497 nucleotides) under uncultured bacterium. RNAcentral's name for it is "partial 16S ribosomal RNA". It matches the Rfam family "Bacterial small subunit ribosomal RNA", at positions 28 to 507 of the family's 1533-position model. The record is from RNAcentral.